AUCAUUUGUAUGCAUGCUGGGUCUAUUAUCACAUUACUCACAAUAGUCAAGAACUGAGAACCACUUUACUAUCCAGCAAUGGAUAAAGUAGAUGAGGUACACACAGACACACACACACACACACACACACACACACACAAAUACCAUUUACUUAUUAGAAGAACAAAAACUUGGGAGUCGGGCUGUAGCGCAGCGGGUUAAGCGCAGGUGGCGCAAAGCACAAGGACCGGCUUAAGAAUCCCGGUUCGAACCCCGGCUCCCCACCUGCAGGGGAGUCGCUUCACAGGCGGUGAAGCAGGUCUGCAGGUGUCUAUCUUUCUCUCUUCCUCUCUGUCUUCCCCUCCUCUCUCCAUUUCUCUCUGUCCUAUCCAACAACGACAACAACAAUAAUAACUACAACAAUAAAACAACAAGGGCAACAAAAGGGAAUAAAUAAAUAAAAUAAAUAUUAAAAAAA
Long non-coding RNA from Erinaceus europaeus (western European hedgehog), 457 nucleotides. RefSeq lists it as uncharacterized. The transcript is spliced from 3 exons. The record is from RefSeq and is a predicted model, not a curated record. NCBI's taxonomy places the organism in Eukaryota, Metazoa, Chordata, Mammalia, Eulipotyphla, Erinaceidae.